UAACGGAGAAUAAGGGUUCGACUCCGGAGAGGGAGCCUGAGAAACGGCUACCACAUCCAAGGAAGGCAGCAGGCGCGCAAAUUACCCACUCUCAGAAUGAGGAGGUAGUGACGAAAAAUAACGAGACCGUUCUCUUUGAGGCCGGUUAUCGGAAUGGGUACAAUUUAAACCCGUUAACGAGGAUCUAUGAGAGGGCAAGUCUGGUGCCAGCAGCCGCGGUAAUUCCAGCUCUCAAAGUGUAUAUCGUCAUUGCUGCGGUUAAAAAGCUCGUAGUUGGAUCUGCGUCUCAGGACCUGGUCCAUCCAUUGGAUGAGAACUGGGCUCCUAGGCUAAUAUUGCCAGUUUUCCCUACGUUACCUUGAUCGGUUGCGUAUGGUGGCUAGCAAGUUUACCUUGAAAAAAUUAGAGUGCUCAAUGCGGGCUAAUGCCUGAAUACUCGUGCAUGGAAUAAUGAAAUAGGAUCUCGGUUCUAUUUUGUUGGUUUUCUGAUCUGAGAUAAUGGUUAAGAGGGACGGACGGGGGCAUUCGUAUCGCUGCGUGAGAGGUGAAAUUCUUGGACCGUAGCGAGACGUACGACUGCGAAAGCAUUUGCCAAGAAUGUCUUCAUUAAUCAAGAACGAAAGUCAGAGGUUCGAAGGCGAUCAGAUACCGCCCUAGUUCUGACCGUAAACGAUACCAACUAGCGUUCCGUCGGCGGUAAAUACGCCUUGACGGGCAGCUUCCCGGAAACGAAAGUUUUUCGGUUCCGGGGAAGUAUGGUUGCAAAGCUGAAACUUAAAGAAAUUGACGGAAGGGCACCACCAGGAGUGGAGCCUGCGGCUUAAUUUGACUCAACACGGGAAAACUCACCUGGCCCGGACACCGUGAGGAUUGACAGAUUGAGAGCUCUUUCAUGAUUCGGUGGUUGGUGGUGCAUGGCCGUUCUUAGUUGGUGGAGUGAUUUGUCUGGUUUAUUCCGAUAACGAGCGAGACUCUAGCCUACUAAAUAGUUACUGGAUAAUUUUGUCCAGACAACUUCUUAGAGGGACAAGCGGUGUUUAGCCGCAUGAAGUUGAGCAAUAACAGGUCUGUGAUGCCCUUAGAUGUCCAGGGCUGCACGCGCGCUACACUGGAGGAAUCAGCGUGCUGUAACCAUUACCGAAAGGUACUGGUAACCCCUUGAAAAUCCUCCGUGAUCGGGAUCGGGAAUUGCAAUUAUUUCCCUUGAACGAGGAAUUCCUAGUAAGUGUGAGUCAUCAGCUCACGUUGAUUACGUCCCUGCCCUUUGUACACACCGCCCGUCGCUGCCCGGGACUGAGCCGUUUCGAGAAAAGCGGAGACUGCUGUUUUGAUACCUUUCGAGGUGGAGAUUCUUUGGUGGAAACCGCUUUAAUCGCAGUGGCUUGAACCGGGCAAAAGUCGUAACAAGGUUUCCGUAGGUGAACCUGCGGAAG
This 1433-nucleotide ribosomal RNA is filed under the name Loa loa (African eye worm). RNAcentral describes it as "SSU rRNA". It matches the Rfam family "Eukaryotic small subunit ribosomal RNA", at positions 360 to 1823 of the family's 1831-position model. Lineage: Eukaryota; Metazoa; Nematoda; Chromadorea; Rhabditida; Onchocercidae. The record is from RNAcentral.